Long non-coding RNA from Solanum dulcamara, 5551 nucleotides. RefSeq lists it as uncharacterized. The record is from RefSeq and is a predicted model, not a curated record. Lineage: Eukaryota; Viridiplantae; Streptophyta; Magnoliopsida; Solanales; Solanaceae. The transcript is spliced from 3 exons.
AUAUAUAAGUUGGAAGUUCACAAAAUGUAGUUUAUGAAAACAUAUGGACCAAGGGAUUUGGGCUUGGAAAGAAAUCAAAAUAAUAAGAGAGGCCCAAUCAUAAGUCAUGGCCCAAAACAAAAGAAAAAGAAAAGGGAGAUCCAAGCCCAUAUGAUUUAGUCAUGUUAUAAAAGAAGAGAAAGGGGCUAGUUAGUCAUAAGGUCCUAGAACAUUCAAGAAAAAUCAAGUCUUCAAGAGAGAAAAGAAGAGACCGAAGCUAGAGACAAAAAGGGGAAAAAAUUGCCAAGUUCUUCAAUUUUGAUCUAAAAAUCUCGUCUUUCUCAAAUUCUUACUAAGUUCAAGCUCCUCUUCAAAGGGGUAUAAUUGGGUAAGCGAGAGAAAUACGAUUGUGGCAAGUCGAAAAUUGAAGAAAAGAUUUUGGAAAGGCCAAGAGUUAGGUGGGGUGACUAAGGAAGCGGACAAGGUACACCCAGACAAGUAGAAGUUACCAUAGAAGAUGUUGCAGCAGGGUUAGCAACUCCACUUGUUCCUGGAGUUCUGCCGAGUCAGAGUAUAUGUGCUAUGAUGUUUCAUUCGAAGUUAGAGACUUUGCAGACAGAGUUGUGGGUAUAGAGUGUCAUCUUUGUAAGCGGCGUCACCAGCCGAUAUGUUAUUAUGUCGCAUGAGAUGAUAGAUUUUUGAUAGCAAGUUCGGAAAGCGUAGCUAUGUUUUUUUCAUUUCUUUUUAAUGCAAAAUUCUUAAGGGAUUGAGAAUGUAAUAUGAGUUAGCGGGUUCGCUCGGCUCUGAGCACGGGGUCGGGUGCCCAUCACACCCUGUUGAUAUUGGGGUGUGACAGAGUGGUAUCAGAGCAGGUCGGUCAAAGGGUUGUCUGCAAAGUCGUGUCUAGUAGAGUCUUGUUUAUGGAUGUGAAGUCGGCCACAUUUAUAAACAGGAGGCUAUAGGACAUUUAGGAUAUUAUCUUCUUCUAUUAUCUUAGAUCGUGCGAUAGAGCUGUCUAUCAGGAUAAUCUCUUCCUAACGGACUACGGGAUAUACGGUCAGACCUCUACGGGAAGCUUGUUUCUGACCUUUUUUCUUGCAGGUGGGUAUAGGCUGUGGUGGGAGAUGAAGAGACCAGCUCUAGACAGUAUAGGGGGUGCGGAGAAGGUCCCUAGGGUACACAUGGGACCUCAGGCUCCAGGACCAAGCAGGCAGAGCCCCAGUUAUUCGAUUGAGACGGAUCCCUCUGAAGACCCUGAUUAUGUUAUAGAGACCGAUCCUUCGGAAGGCUCAACAGUAGGUCCCCAAGAGCAUCUGAUGACCAGGAAAGUGGUUCUAGAAGCCACGCCAGCUGCUCUUAUGACCAAACACUAUGUCAGGCCAGCUCCUACGGUAAGUGUUACGAUAUAUUCGAGCCCUCUAUCUUGGUCGUCAGUGAACCAAGAAUUUCCUGGCUAUUAAUAUAUUUUGGAUUCAAGCGAAGACGACGACGAGGGACAGACAAGCAAAUGGCAUCCAGAUAGUGAUGGGGAACAUACUUCACCUCCUAGGUCACCAGGUCGAGAUAGGGACUGAUCGAUCAUAGGUAUAGGGGAGUACUAAGUAUAGUUUUUGCUGGCUAUAGGGGCAAGUUAUCAUUUUUGUUUCGGCCUAAUGUAGGAAGCCUUGUGCGGCUGGGAUAUGAUAUGUUAUAAAUGUAUGUAUAUAUUAGCCCUGUGAGGCAUUGCGAAUGUGAUAUGAUAUGAUAUGGAUAUAUAUAUAUGUUGGACUUGCAUGGCAUUGUUGGUAUUUCCUGAGUGCAGGUUUGAGAUAGUAAGGAAUAUAGAGGAAACUCUGUCGGAAUUUUCUAGAAAGAAAAAGGGAAUAGAUAGCUCUGAACGGAAGGAGUAGUAUGAAAAGGCGAGAAGAUAAGACCAUUAUUAAAAUAGAAUUGUCAUGAGAUUGAGAAGAAUUGGAAGUUAACCUUAGGUACCCGACAAGGAUAAAAGCUUAUGAGAUAUAAAGGAGUAUUGUGGAUAUGUGAUUCCGCCGUGAAAAGUAUAAAGACCCCUCAAGGAUGAGGGAUGUAGCUCUACAAAAUCAUUGACGCGUUGCGAGCCCAUUAAGUGGAACAAGUGGUAUCCACUAGAAUGAAGAUAGUGUUAUAACAGAGCUAGAAACACGGGUCACUGGAGUACAAGUACUUUUGGAUGGAGAAGUUGAAAUGAGUGUGAGCGCUAACUAAUCACUAGUAGGGAAGAAAGAAAUUUUCCCUAUAGUCUCUAUAAGAUUUUGAAGAAGGUUUUAUUUAACAUUCGAGGACGAAUGUUCUAAAGGGGGGGAGAAUGUUACAAUCCAUAUUUUUGUACAUUUGGACAUUUGGAAUAAUUGUAACAAGUGAAGGAUAAUGGUACGUUUUGGUCUUGUUUGAUACAUAAGUUGGUUAUGAAAUUUUGGAGAUGGAAAUAUUGGAAAAAAAAAGAAUAAGGAAAAAUAAAUAAAUAAAUAUAUAUAUAUAUAAGUUGGAAGUUCACAAAAUGUAGUUUAUGAAAACAUAUGGACCAAGGGAUUUGGGCUUGGAAAGAAAUCAAAAUAAUAAGAGAGGCCCAAUCAUAAGUCAUGGCCCAAAACAAAAGAAAAAGAAAAGGGAGAUCCAAGCCCAUAUGAUUUAGUCAUGUUAUAAAAGAAGAGAAAGGGGCUAGUUAGUCAUAAGGUCCUAGAACAUUCAAGAAAAAUCAAGUCUUCAAGAGAGAAAAGAAGAGACCGAAGCUAGAGACAAAAAGGGGAAAAAAUUGCCAAGUUCUUCAAUUUUGAUCUAAAAAUCUCGUCUUUCUCAAAUUCUUACUAAGUUCAAGCUCCUCUUCAAAGGGGUAUAAUUGGGUAAGCGAGAGAAAUACGAUUGUGGCAAGUCGAAAAUUGAAGAAAAGGUAAGAAUUCUAUCUUUUAUGUUAUGGAAGAAGUCUAUGUGUUGUAGCUAGUAGAAUUAAGUGGAAAUCAUGUAAUUGUGAUGUAUGUGGGUGUGUGAACAUGUGGGUGUGAAAGUGGGUGUGUGUGGACAUGUGGUGUGUUGGUUGGAAGAAGAGGAGUUGAACUUUAUUUAGCUUGUUAGUUGUGUUGUUAUGGCGGUUAUGGUGUAAUUAAAAGUUGAACGAUUCGAGACGGCCUUGAAAUUGGUUACAAGUUGUUAUAUGAAAUUAUGUGAUUUUAGUAUAGUUUUAUGAAAUCAUGGAAGUGGAAUUUUAAUAUGAGGAUUAUUGUUAUUCUUAAUGAAUUUGGAGGAAGACAAUGCGAUUUGGUAGUUCCGUUGUGUUUGUAGAAGUUUUGGGUGGAUUAUGAUUUUGAUGGAAUUUUUGGUAUAUUGUAUGGAAUAAUGUUAAUUUCUUUUGAAUUAUGUUUAAAUGGUCUUGAGCUAGUAAGGGAAUAAGAAAUGUUGAUAUUAGUUGAAGGUGUGAAGUUGGAGUAGAAAUUGUGGCCUUAUGUAAUAAAAGAAAGAAGAGAAAGAAGAAAGAAGAAAGAAGAAAAAGAAGAAAGACUACUAGUGUAAAUUGUGUUUUGUAAUAAUUGCUAAUAUUGUUAGUAUGAUGUGGUUAGUGUGUAAAUUAUUGGGUUGUGGUAAUUGAAUUUGAAACAAGGGAUUAGAUUGUUAUUGUUCUUAUUGGAAUUGAAAGGUCUUGGAGAAAGUAGUAUAUUGAUUUGGUAUGAUUGUUGGUAAAUUGGCCGAGUUAGAUUCUCGGGGAUGGUGUAUUUACAGGGAAAGUGCUGUCGAAAUUUCGGUAGACAAAAUGUUAGUUUAGAAUGAGGUUCUUGGAUACCUAUAGCUAAUGUUGGCAUUUAUUAAUCUUGUUAUAGAUUUUGGAAAGGCCAAGAGUUAGGUGGGGUGACUAAGGAAGCGGACAAGGUAUGUAAAGCUAACCGUUCCUUCUUUUGGCAUGUCUUUGGUAUAAGUAUGUAAGGCUUACCCUUCUUUUUCAAGGCAUGAUUCCGAUGUUAUGGUUUCAUAAGUGCUUCCAUAUAUUCUUUGUUUUCAAAAGAUAGGUGUCAAUGGUCCCAAGGAAAUGACUACUUUUUCCUAUAACCCGUUAAUGUUUUCCAAAAUGUCUAUAGUUUCCCAAAACAAAGGUUUACAAUAUUACAAGUUUUUAUGGCAAUGACGAUGGAUAUGUUUUACAACGACAUUGAUGAUGUCGAGGAUGAGAAUAUGUCUAUGAUGGCUAAGAUAAGAACGGCUUCAUGUAUGUAAUGUUUACUCUUCUUUCUCUUGGCAUGUUUUGACAUAAGUAUAUAGAGCUACACUUUCUUUUGGCAUAAUUUUUAUGAAACAAGUAUAUGUCAUUUUGUACAAUUUCAAGGAAGUCCUAUUCGUAGAGCCACUAGGAUGGUCAAUUUUCUUGAGUUUCCAAAAGAUAUUUUUCUCGUGCUUAAAUACGUGUAUAUGAUUCCAAAAGUUUUAUGUUGAUAUAAUCCAUGGUAAUUUUUGAAAGGUACUUGAUAUGACUCUUAUCUUGUUUUGUUAAUCAUAGCUCAUUCCGAUUAUUCUACGAGUCUUGAAAAUUGGUCAUAUGUGCAUAUGUAUACGAUUUGACGCCUUAUAAGAUUGUGACCUUAUUCUACGUUCUCUUAAUAUUAUCUUUCGUUGAUAGUCUCAUCCUAUAAUAAUUGUUCCUUCAAGGUGAGACAAAGCGACCAUGGUUAGUCUAUAAUACAAUCGGAGGUUACCGAUCUUCCGUCACUUCGAUAAAUACACGACUUUCAUUGGGCUCUCGUGCAUGCUGUCUAUAUGUAUAUGUAUAUGUAUAUAGGGGAUAUGGAGAGGUGUAUAUGUGGCGCUAUAGACGCAUUCCCACCUGAUCAGUUGGAGUAAUUUUCAUCCUGGACGCGAGAUGCCCGGACGCGGGAAAUAUGUGGGCACGCCGACGUUGUUCGGUGAUAUGACUUCUAUUUUCUAUGAAUAUGAACAAGAAAUGUUUUUUUAUGAUAAGACAAGCAUGCAUGGCAUCCGGCCUAAAAGGGCACUCAUAUGUACAGGUUACUCUCUUAUCUCACUAUAUGUCUAUGAUUCUACGAUAUGGUUGUUCAUACCUUAUGUUCUUUAUUAUGCUGAUUUUCAUGCCUUACAUACUCGGUACAUUACUCGUACUGACCCCCUUUUCUUUGGGGGUUGCGUUUCAUGCCACGCAGGUACACCCAGACAAGUAGAAGUUAUCAUAGAAGAUGUUGCAGCAGGGUUAGCAACUCCACUUGUUUCUGGAGUGCUGCCGAGUCAGAGUAUAUGUGCUAUGAUGUUUCAUUCGAAGUUAGAGACUUUGCAGACAGAGUUGUGGGUAUAGAGUGUCAUCUUUGUAAGCGGCGUCACCAGCCGAUAUGUUAUUAUGUCGCAUGAGAUGAUAGAUUUUUGAUAGCAAGUUCGGAAAGCGUAGCUAUGUUUUUUUCAUUUCUUUUUAAUGCAAAAUUCUUAAGGGAUUGAGAAUGUAAUAUGAGUUAGCGGGUUCGCUCGGCUCCGAGCACGGGGUCGGGUGCCCAUCACACCCUGUUGAUAUUGGGGUGUGACAGUAACUUGUUGUUGCUGCACCUCUUUGAUGAUAUAUUUCAGUAUC